Zingiber officinale is the source of this 106-nucleotide small nucleolar RNA. The record is from RefSeq and is a predicted model, not a curated record. NCBI's taxonomy places the organism in Eukaryota, Viridiplantae, Streptophyta, Magnoliopsida, Zingiberales, Zingiberaceae.
AAUCCAUGAUGCGAGCAGUCUCUCAGCAUUCCUUUAAACCUAUCCCAAGCUUUGUAAAGAGAUUCAGAGUCUAUUUGUUUGAAACUUGCAAUGAAAUUUUGAAGGU